This 253-nucleotide ribosomal RNA is filed under the name uncultured Aquicella sp. Its description in RNAcentral is "partial 16S ribosomal RNA". It matches the Rfam family "Bacterial small subunit ribosomal RNA", at positions 524 to 776 of the family's 1533-position model. Lineage: Bacteria; Pseudomonadati; Pseudomonadota; Gammaproteobacteria; Legionellales; Coxiellaceae. The record is from RNAcentral.
UACAGAGGGUGCGAGCGUUAAUCGGAAUUACUGGGCGUAAAGGGCGCGUAGGCGGACGUAAGAGUGUGAUGUGAAAGCCCCGGGCUUAACCUGGGAAGAGCAUCGCAAACGCUAUGUCUGGAGUAUAUGAGAGGGUGGCGGAAUUUCCGGUGUAGCGGUGAAAUGCGUAGAGAUCGGAAGGAACGUCAAUGGCGAAGGCAGCCACCUGGCAUAAUACUGACGCUGAAGCGCGAAAGCGUGGGUAGCGAACAGG